AUAAUAUUAUUAUAUUCGAAAGUAUAUUUGCUUUCCAAGCAUAAGGAGUUUUAAUAACAUGUUAUA
RNAcentral lists this transfer RNA (66 nucleotides) under Botryllus gaiae. Its description in RNAcentral is "transfer RNA-Gly(GGN)". Lineage: Eukaryota; Metazoa; Chordata; Ascidiacea; Stolidobranchia; Styelidae. The record is from RNAcentral.